This 234-nucleotide ribosomal RNA is filed under the name Legionella pneumophila. RNAcentral's name for it is "partial 23S ribosomal RNA". It matches the Rfam family "Bacterial large subunit ribosomal RNA", at positions 1 to 231 of the family's 2925-position model. Lineage: Bacteria; Pseudomonadati; Pseudomonadota; Gammaproteobacteria; Legionellales; Legionellaceae. The record is from RNAcentral.
UAUAUGGUCAAGAAGAGAAGCGCAAACGGUGGAUGCCUUGGCAGUAAGAGGCGAAGAAGGACGUGGAAUCCUGCGAAAAGCUAUGGGGAGCUGGAAACGAGCGAUGAGCCAUAGAUGUCCGAAUGGGGGAACCCGGCUGCAGCGAUGCGGUCAUUUGCAUUUGAAUACAUAGGAUGCAAAGGCGAACUCGGGGAACUGAAACAUCUAAGUACCCGAAGGAAAAGAAAUCAAGAG